Molecule: unclassified non-coding RNA, 152 nt
Filed under: soil metagenome
Description: partial internal transcribed spacer 1
Source: RNAcentral
GCGAGUAUGGCCCUCACGGGUCUAAUCCACCACAAACACCUUUGUGGACCAGUCAGGGGGACUCGGCCGUGAAGGCCCAGGCGAUUAGCGGAAGGGCCCUCCUUUUGCAAACCCGUUUAGAAGUCUUGAAAGUACUUUUGUAUAAUCUAGUA